GAAAAAUAAAAAAAAAAAUUAUUAUACAUAUACACCAUACUUUUGGCAUGAUAUGCCAUACCCCUGAGAUGGUUUAGAACAAGAAUAAAAUACAAUGUUUAUAUCUAAUGUUCUCUUGUCCAAAUUAAGGACAUUUGAUAAUUGCCCAUUAUUUUAGGGCCUCUUCAUAGAACCGGGUUCACAUUAUUCGGUCAACCCAUUUGUAUCUCUCAAUAAUUGAG
This 221-nucleotide unclassified non-coding RNA is filed under the name Hevea brasiliensis (rubber tree). Lineage: Eukaryota; Viridiplantae; Streptophyta; Magnoliopsida; Malpighiales; Euphorbiaceae. The record is from RNAcentral.